UGGCGGCAUGCCUAACACAUGCAAGUCGAACGAGACUUCGGUCUAGUGGCGGACGGGUGAGUAACGCGUAGGAACCUACCAAGUAGUGGGGGAUAACAGCUGGAAACGGCUGCUAAUACCGCAUACGCCCUUCGGGGGAAAGAUUUAUCGGUGAAGGAUUAGCCCGCGUCUGAUUAGAUAGUUGGUGGGGUAAUGGCCUACCAAGUCUACGAUCAGUAGCUGGUUUGAGAGGAUGAUCAGCAACACUGGGACUGAGACACGGCCCAGACUCC
Molecule: ribosomal RNA, 272 nt
Filed under: unidentified marine bacterioplankton
Lineage: Bacteria
Description: partial 16S ribosomal RNA
Rfam family: Bacterial small subunit ribosomal RNA
Source: RNAcentral